This 471-nucleotide ribosomal RNA is filed under the name uncultured eukaryote. RNAcentral's name for it is "bacterial SSU rRNA". It matches the Rfam family "Eukaryotic small subunit ribosomal RNA", at positions 198 to 648 of the family's 1831-position model. The record is from RNAcentral.
ACGGCGUUCUCGCCGGAUGUAGGAACCGACCCGGGGACCGCCGGGGCAACCCGGCGCCCCCGAGACGGGGCGAACCACGGUGAAAUGACGGAUCGUCGGCCCCGCGCCGGCGACUCGCCGAAUGAGUUUCUGACCUAUCAACUCGAGACGGCGGGGUAGAGGCCCGCCGCGGUAACGACGGGUAACGGGGAAUCAGGGUUCGAUUCCGGAGAGGGAGCCCGAGAAACGGCUACCACUUCCAAGGAAGGCAGCAGGCGCGCAACUUACCCUAAUCUCGAUUCGAGGAGGUAGUGACAAGAAAUACCGAUGCGGGACCCUACGGGUGCCGCGUUCGGAAUGAGUACGAUUCGAACCACCUAACGAGGAACGAUCGGAGGGCAAGUCUGGUGCCAGCAGCCGCGGUAAUUCCAGCUCCAAUAGCGUACGUUAAAGUUGCUGCAGUUAAAAAGCUCGUAGUUGAACGUUCGGGUU